CUUACGUCUGCUAAGUCUAGAACGAGCACACCAAACCCUUACAAAAUGGCAAAGAUUAAUUUGGUUAUUGCGGCUCUUGCCCUAUUCUGCCUGGUUGCUGUCAACGCUGGUCCGUCUACAGAAAUCAGGGCUGAAGGUUCCAGUGGUGGAAUACUGGAAGGACUUAAAUACGCUUUCCUGGUAGUUUUCCAAGUGCUUGUUUAUAUACCAGUAAUUAUUUACCAAUACUGGGCUAGGUUAUGGAUAUAAGCUCAAAUAAGGACGCCCGAACAUGUUUUAAAUAAAUCUAAGUAGCAUCAUUUAA
Molecule: long non-coding RNA, 304 nt
Organism: Dalotia coriaria
Lineage: Eukaryota; Metazoa; Arthropoda; Insecta; Coleoptera; Staphylinidae
Exons: 2
Source: RefSeq, a predicted model, not a curated record